ACGGGUGAGUAACGCGUGGGAACGUACCUUUUGGUUCGGAACAACACAGGGAAACUUGUGCUAAUACCGGAUAAGCCCUUACGGGGAAAGAUUUAUCGCCGAAAGAUCGGCCCGCGUCUGAUUAGCUAGUUGGUGAGGUAAUGGCUCACCAAGGCGACGAUCAGUAGCUGGUCUGAGAGGAUGAUCAGCCACACUGGGACUGAGACACGGCCCAGACUCCUACGGGAGGCAGCAGUGGGGAAUAUUGGACAAUGGGCGCAAGCCUGAUCCAGCCAUGCCGCGUGAGUGAUGAAGGCCCUAGGGUUGUAAAGCUCUUUUGUGCGGGAAGAUAAUGACGGUACCGCAAGAAUAAGCCCCGGCUAACUUCGUGCCAGCAGCCGCGGUAAUACGAAGGGGGCUAGCGUUGCUCGGAAUCACUGGGCGUAAAGGGUGCGUAGGCGGGUCUUUAAGUCAGGGGUGAAAUCCUGGAGCUCAACUCCAGAACUGCUUUUGAUACUGAAGAUCUUGAGUUCGGGAGAGGUGAGUGGAACUGCGAGU
RNAcentral lists this ribosomal RNA (537 nucleotides) under uncultured bacterium. Its description in RNAcentral is "bacterial SSU rRNA". It matches the Rfam family "Bacterial small subunit ribosomal RNA", at positions 102 to 674 of the family's 1533-position model. The record is from RNAcentral.